This 497-nucleotide ribosomal RNA is filed under the name uncultured bacterium. RNAcentral's name for it is "partial 16S ribosomal RNA". It matches the Rfam family "Bacterial small subunit ribosomal RNA", at positions 28 to 507 of the family's 1533-position model. The record is from RNAcentral.
GACGAACGCUGGCGGCGUGCCUAAUACAUGCAAGUUGAGCGCUGAAGGUUGGUACUUGUACCAACUGGAUGAGCAGCGAACGGGUGAGUAACGCGUGGGGAAUCUGCCUUUGAGCGGGGGACAACAUUUGGAAACGAAUGCUAAUACCGCAUAAAAACUUUAAACACAAGUUUUAAGUUUGAAAGAUGCAAUUGCAUCACUCAAAGAUGAUCCCGCGUUGUAUUAGCUAGUUGGUGAGGUAAAGGCUCACCAAGGCGAUGAUACAUAGCCGACCUGAGAGGGUGAUCGGCCACAUUGGGACUGAGACACGGCCCAAACUCCUACGGGAGGCAGCAGUAGGGAAUCUUCGGAAAUGGAAGAAAGUCUGACCGAGCAACGCCGCAUGAGUGAAGAAGGUUUUCGGAUCGUAAAACUCUGUUGGUAGAGAAGAACGUUGGUGAGAGUGGAAAGCUCAUCAAGUGACGGUAACUACCCAGAAAGGGACGGCUAACUACGUG